UUGUCAACACACCUCUACCUACUUUUUCUAAGACCCCCUUUUUUCUGGCAUGAUCUGAUAGAGGUUUGGUGAAUUUUUAUGCCCCCUCUCCCAAAUGUCUAGAAUAUUAUAAGGUGUCAAUUAAGAAUUAUAUUUUUUAAAGUAGGAAGAUAGUUUUCCUCUAAUGUAAGUGCCUAUCUACAUCCAUCAUUUGGGGUAUCGUUUUCUAGAAGUCAAGGUCAUACAAGUGGCAUCAGGGCUAUGCUUUGGGUGUCACAUGCAUUCUUGAAGGUUUUGCUCUGAUAUCUGCCUGAGAUCAUAUUCCUGUCAGUUUGCAGUCCCAACAAGACAGAGGACAAGUGCUAUGGAACAAGAGUUUAUCAUCCCUAGAAGUGUUUGAGUGGAAUUUGAAAGACAAUUCAUUGAGGAUGCCAUAGAUAAAAUUCACUCUUCUGUGAGGGGUUUGGACUAGAUUACAGAUCAGAUAUCACAUCUUCAAGGAAUUCUCCCAUCUAUCCUCCCAACAGCUAGGUGAGUGCAUCAUCUCUACUUCUCUACCCCAGUUUCAGUGCUAGCAAGUAGAUAAAGAGUGAGAAACCUGGACACACAGUCGCGGAGCUCCCAAAAUUGAGAAAUCAUGCCCAGAAUAUAUUUCACCACUGUAAAUUUCACCAGCCUUGGAAAUCUCCCUGACCAAAUUAAUCCCUAAGCCUCCACAGCCAGGAUGCAGGAAAAUUGAAGAAAAUGACUCCAGUGGCUGCUUCACCAUCUUCACCUUGAAAUGAAAGUCCGAUAGGUCAGGACUUGAGGCAGCUGCUCACUGCUGGGGAAGAAGGAGCAUUCUAGCACUCAUUUUCAGGGCUCUGAUUGCUUCUCCUCACUUCUUUGAAGUUUCAAUCACACAAGUUAUUUUCUCAUAGCCUCUCCCAUAGC
This 912-nucleotide long non-coding RNA is filed under the name Monodelphis domestica (gray short-tailed opossum). RNAcentral describes it as "lncRNA (ENSMODG00000034362.2)". The record is from RNAcentral. Lineage: Eukaryota; Metazoa; Chordata; Mammalia; Didelphimorphia; Didelphidae.